GGGUUGUGAGGUUAAGCGACUAAGCGUACACGGUGGAUGCCCUGGCAGUCAGAGGCGAUGAAGGACGUGCUAAUCUGCGAUAAGCGUCGGUAAGGUGAUAUGAACCGUUAUAACCGGCGAUUUCCGAAUGGGGAAACCCAGUGUGAUUCGUCACACUAUCAUUAACUGAAUCCAUAGGUUAAUGAGGCGAACCGGGGGAACUGAAACAUCUAAGUACCCCGAGGAAAAGAAAUCAACCGAGAUUCCCCCAGUAGCGGCGAGCGAACGGGGAGCAGCCCAGAGCCUGAAUCAGUGUGUGUGUUAGUGGAAGCGUCUGGAAAGGCGCGCGAUACAGGGUGACAGCCCCGUACACAAAAAUGCACAUACUGUGAGCUCGAUGAGUAGGGCGGGACACGUGGUAUCCUGUCUGAAUAUGGGGGGACCAUCCUCCAAGGCUAAAUACUCCUGACUGACCGAUAGUGAACCAGUACCGUGAGGGAAAGGCGAAAAGAACCCCGGCGAGGGGAGUGAAAAAGAACCUGAAACCGUGUACGUACAAGCAGUGGGAGCCUCUUUAUGGGGUGACUGCGUACCUUUUGUAUAAUGGGUCAGCGACUUAUAUUCUGUAGCAAGGUUAACCGAAUAGGGGAGCCGAAGGGAAACCGAGUCUUAACUGGGCGUUAAGUUGCAGGGUAUAGACCCGAAACCCGGUGAUCUAGCCAUGGGCAGGUUGAAGGUUGGGUAACACUAACUGGAGGACCGAACCGACUAAUGUUGAAAAAUUAGCGGAUGACUUGUGGCUGGGGGUGAAAGGCCAAUCAAACCGGGAGAUAGCUGGUUCUCCCCGAAAGCUAUUUAGGUAGCGCCUCGUGAAUUCAUCUCCGGGGGUAGAGCACUGUUUCGGCAAGGGGGUCAUCCCGACUUACCAACCCGAUGCAAACUGCGAAUACCGGAGAAUGUUAUCACGGGAGACACACGGCGGGUGCUAACGUCCGUCGUGAAGAGGGAAACAACCCAGACCGCCAGCUAAGGUCCCAAAGUCAUGGUUAAGUGGGAAACGAUGUGGGAAGGCCCAGACAGCCAGGAUGUUGGCUUAGAAGCAGCCAUCAUUUAAAGAAAGCGUAAUAGCUCACUGGUCGAGUCGGCCUGCGCGGAAGAUGUAACGGGGCUAAACCAUGCACCGAAGCUGCGGCAGCGACACUAUGUGUUGUUGGGUAGGGGAGCGUUCUGUAAGCCUGCGAAGGUGUACUGUGAGGUAUGCUGGAGGUAUCAGAAGUGCGAAUGCUGACAUAAGUAACGAUAAAGCGGGUGAAAAGCCCGCUCGCCGGAAGACCAAGGGUUCCUGUCCAACGUUAAUCGGGGCAGGGUGAGUCGACCCCUAAGGCGAGGCCGAAAGGCGUAGUCGAUGGGAAACAGGUUAAUAUUCCUGUACUUGGUGUUACUGCGAAGGGGGGACGGAGAAGGCUAUGUUGGCCGGGCGACGGUUGUCCCGGUUUAAGCGUGUAGGCUGGUUUUCCAGGCAAAUCCGGAAAAUCAAGGCUGAGGCGUGAUGACGAGGCACUACGGUGCUGAAGCAACAAAUGCCCUGCUUCCAGGAAAAGCCUCUAAGCAUCAGGUAACAUCAAAUCGUACCCCAAACCGACACAGGUGGUCAGGUAGAGAAUACCAAGGCGCUUGAGAGAACUCGGGUGAAGGAACUAGGCAAAAUGGUGCCGUAACUUCGGGAGAAGGCACGCUGAUAUGUAGGUGAAGCGACUUGCUCGUGGAGCUGAAAUCAGUCGAAGAUACCAGCUGGCUGCAACUGUUUAUUAAAAACACAGCACUGUGCAAACACGAAAGUGGACGUAUACGGUGUGACGCCUGCCCGGUGCCGGAAGGUUAAUUGAUGGGGUUAGCGGUAACGCGAAGCUCUUGAUCGAAGCCCCGGUAAACGGCGGCCGUAACUAUAACGGUCCUAAGGUAGCGAAAUUCCUUGUCGGGUAAGUUCCGACCUGCACGAAUGGCGUAAUGAUGGCCAGGCUGUCUCCACCCGAGACUCAGUGAAAUUGAACUCGCUGUGAAGAUGCAGUGUACCCGCGGCAAGACGGAAAGACCCCGUGAACCUUUACUAUAGCUUGACACUGAACAUUGAGCCUUGAUGUGUAGGAUAGGUGGGAGGCUUUGAAGUGUGGACGCCAGUCUGCAUGGAGCCGGCCUUGAAAUACCACCCUUUAAUGUUUGAUGUUCUAACGUUGGCCCCUGACCGGGGUUGCGGACAGUGUCUGGUGGGUAGUUUGACUGGGGCGGUCUCCUCCUAAAGAGUAACGGAGGAGCACGAAGGUUGGCUAAUCCUGGUCGGACAUCAGGAGGUUAGUGCAAUGGCAUAAGCCAGCUUGACUGCGAGCGUGACGGCGCGAGCAGGUGCGAAAGCAGGUCAUAGUGAUCCGGUGGUUCUGAAUGGAAGGGCCAUCGCUCAACGGAUAAAAGGUACUCCGGGGAUAACAGGCUGAUACCGCCCAAGAGUUCAUAUCGACGGCGGUGUUUGGCACCUCGAUGUCGGCUCAUCACAUCCUGGGGCUGAAGUAGGUCCCAAGGGUAUGGCUGUUCGCCAUUUAAAGUGGUACGCGAGCUGGGUUUAGAACGUCGUGAGACAGUUCGGUCCCUAUCUGCCGUGGGCGCUGGAGAACUGAGGGGGGCUGCUCCUAGUACGAGAGGACCGGAGUGGACGCAUCACUGGUGUUCGGGUUGUCAUGCCAAUGGCACUGCCCGGUAGCUAAAUGCGGAAGAGAUAAGUGCUGAAAGCAUCUAAGCACGAAACUUGCCCCGAGAUGAGUUCUCCCUGACUCCUUGAGAGUCCUGAAGGAACGUUGAAGACGACGACGUUGAUAGGCCGGGUGUGUAAGCGCAGCGAUGCGUUGAGCUAACCGGUACUAAUGAACCGUGAGGCUUAACCUUACAACGCCGAAG
RNAcentral lists this ribosomal RNA (2925 nucleotides) under Escherichia coli. RNAcentral's name for it is "23S ribosomal RNA". It matches the Rfam family "Bacterial large subunit ribosomal RNA". Lineage: Bacteria; Pseudomonadati; Pseudomonadota; Gammaproteobacteria; Enterobacterales; Enterobacteriaceae. The record is from RNAcentral.